UUUCCGUAGGUGAACCUGCGGAAGGAUCAUUGUCAAAACCUGCAAAGCAGAACGACCCGAGAACUUGUAAAAAAUCAUUUUUUGGGUAAGACGGCGGGGUGAACGCUCAACCGUCUGCCCCUUGGAUCAUGUGGGGUGGUCGCGUCGCUCUUGUGAUGUGGAUGCCCUUCGUCGGUUCGAACAACAAACUCGGCGCGAUCUGCGCCAAGAAAUUGAACUAAAGGAUUGAGCAUCUUCUUCUUGAUGAUGUUACGAUUCCAAUAUUUAAACGACUCUCGACAAUGGAUAUCUCGGCUCUCGCAUCGAUGAAGAACGUAGCGAAAUGCGAUACUUGGUGUGAAUUGCAGAAUCCCGUGAACCAUCGAGUCUUUGAACGCAAGUUGCGCCCAAGGCCAUUAGGCCGAGGGCACGUCUGCCUGGGCGUCACGCACAACGUCGUUCCACCCAUAAUAUCUUUCACCUUAGUCGGGUAAGGAAUUGAUGUAUGGAAGCGGAUAUUGGCCCCCCGUGCCUUACAGGUGCGGUCGGCUCAAAAUUUGGCCUCGGGGAUGAGCGUCACGAUCAGUGGUGGUUUUAAAACCCCCUUGUCAUUGACCGAAAUUGUGUCGUCUCACCCCAUAUCAGGCUAUGCGGACCCUUGUCUGUCGUUAGCACGACAUUCACUUUGCGACCCCAGGUCAGGCGGGACUACCCGCUGAAUUUAA
Molecule: ribosomal RNA, 704 nt
Filed under: Sinopodophyllum hexandrum
Lineage: Eukaryota; Viridiplantae; Streptophyta; Magnoliopsida; Ranunculales; Berberidaceae
Description: eukaryotic LSU rRNA
Rfam family: 5.8S ribosomal RNA (bases 271-426)
Source: RNAcentral